Non-coding RNA from Carlito syrichta (Philippine tarsier), 357 nucleotides. The record is from the annotation of a RefSeq genome assembly. Lineage: Eukaryota; Metazoa; Chordata; Mammalia; Primates; Tarsiidae.
AUGUUGUUCUCUAGCCUGCUGAAGAUGGUUAUAGCUUCGAUGUGGCUAGCAUCUGGCAUUGCCCAGAAGGUAAUUCAAGCUCAACAAGCAGUGUUGGUGCAAGAGAAGGAGGUUGUGACUCUGAACUGCACAUAUGACACCACUGUUAGAAGUUAUAGUCUAUUCUGGUACAAGCAGCCCAGCAGUGGAGAGAUGAUACUCCUUAUUCAUCAGCUCUCUUAUGACCGGGAAAAUGCAACAGAAGGUCGUUACUCAUUGAAUCUCAGGAAGUCAAGCAAAUCUAUCAGCCUUGUCAUCUCAGCAUUACAAUUGGGGGACUCAGCAAUGUAUUUCUGUGCACUGAUGCAGGCACAGUGA